This 992-nucleotide long non-coding RNA is filed under the name Chinchilla lanigera (long-tailed chinchilla). Its description in RNAcentral is "lncRNA (ENSCLAG00000024378.1)". The record is from RNAcentral. Lineage: Eukaryota; Metazoa; Chordata; Mammalia; Rodentia; Chinchillidae.
CACUGCAUCACUGAUAAAGCUUUUAUUUUCAGCAUUUUAGAAGUGCAUUUCCUGCCAUCUAUGAAUAGGUCUCCAAGCGAUAUGAAUAGGCCCCCAAGAGGGUGCGGCUCAGAACACGGACAAUGCAUCCAGCCUGCUCCUCCUCUCUGUCAGAGAUCAGGCCACCCCGAGCUUUCUGAAAACCAUUCGAGGGAAAGAGGCAAUAAAUAGCCCUAGGAACUCUGCUAAUGCUUGACACCAGGGAAGUCUGAGGUUGACAGCAGGGUUUGGCGUGGGCAGGAUGAGGGGUUGUUGGUGUAAUAGGAUCCUCCUUGCCACUUGGCAGCUGUGCUGGAGCCCUGGAAACGCAGGUGCCACGGACGUCCUCACCGGCUUCUGGGUGGACAGAGCCCCCUUUGAGCAGCAGCUCCUCCUCUCACCCAAAGCACCGCCACAGCCUCCUGCUGCUCCCACCUCUCUGGAGCAUCCUCUUCUCUCGGGCUUGUGCUCCCGGCCCCUGCUGAAGAUGACCAUGGUCUGGGCUUGGCUUCCUGUCUUAAGGAAUUCCCCGGUAACUCAGCUCCAAUGGAGAUGGAGUCCUUCUUCCUAUGUUUAUUGUGUGGGUUUCUGUCUUCUUAUUCUUCAGAUGGACUUCAGGAGAGAUGGACAAGCAUCUCUGCGCUCACUUCUACAAGUGAAUUUGAACUGGACACUCUUGUAACUAGUUUAAAUAUUCGUGGACAACAACUAUUUUGGGUGGAAUUUUUAAUUAUUAAGCACAAGACGUGGCAUUUGAACCUGUGUGGUGUCAUUAACUUCCCAUAAUGACCCUAAGCAGCCCCAUUUUACAAGUGAAGAAGCUGAGAUUCAGAGAGUCUGUGCAUUUGCUUGAAGCUGCAGAGCUUGUAAGUGGUAGACCCAGUAUUUGAACUCAAAUCUUCUAAUUCUCAACUGUGUGCUUUGUGCUACGGGUGAGAACAAAACAAAACUAGCUAUCAUGGGUGGAUAACGAU